RNAcentral lists this ribosomal RNA (404 nucleotides) under Fusobacteriota bacterium. Its description in RNAcentral is "Fusobacteria bacterium partial 16S ribosomal RNA". It matches the Rfam family "Bacterial small subunit ribosomal RNA", at positions 355 to 776 of the family's 1533-position model. Lineage: Bacteria; Fusobacteriati; Fusobacteriota. The record is from RNAcentral.
UGGGGAAUAUUGCACAAUGGAGGGAACUCUGAUGCAGCGACGCCGCGUGAGUGAUGAAGGAAUUCGUUUCGUAAAACUCUGUUCUAUGGGAAGAAAAGGACUGUACCAUAGGAGAAAGCUCCGGCUAAAUACGUGCCAGCAGCCGCGGUAAUACGUAUGGAGCGAGCGUUGUCCGGAAUUAUUGGGCGUAAAGGGUGCGCAGGCGGCUUUACAAGUUGGAUGUGAAAUAUUGUGGCUCAACCACAAACGUGCAUCCAAAACUGCAAAGCUUGAGUUAAGGAGAGGUAAGUGUAAUUCCUGGUGUAACGGUGGAAUGCGUAGAUAUCAGGAGGAAUACCGGUGGCGAAGGCGACUUACUGGACUUAAACUGACGCUCAGGCACGAAAGCGUGGGGAGCAAACAGG